AUUGAACGCUGGCGGCAGGCCUAACACAUGCAAGUCGAACGAGUGGCGGACGGGUGAGUAAUGUCUGGGAAACUGCCUGAGGGAGGGGGAUAACUACUGGAAACGGUAGCUAAUACCGCAUACAAUCAGAUGUGCCCAGAUGGGAUUAGCUAGUUGGUGGGGUAACGGCUCACCAAGGCGACGAUCCCUAGCUGGUCUGAGAGGAUGACCAGCCACAUUGGAACUGAGACACGGCCCAAACUCCUACGGGAGGCAGCAGUGGGGAAUAUUGCACAAUGGGCGCAAGUCUGAUGGAGCCAUGCCGCGUGUGUGAAGAAGGUUUUCGGGUUGUAAAGUACUUUCGGUGGGGAAGCGUUAAUCGCAGAAGAAGCAACGGCUAACUACGUGCCAGCAGCCGCGGUAAUUC
RNAcentral lists this ribosomal RNA (406 nucleotides) under uncultured bacterium. RNAcentral describes it as "partial 16S ribosomal RNA". It matches the Rfam family "Bacterial small subunit ribosomal RNA", at positions 30 to 526 of the family's 1533-position model. The record is from RNAcentral.